Molecule: microRNA, 22 nt
Filed under: Ixodes ricinus (castor bean tick)
Lineage: Eukaryota; Metazoa; Arthropoda; Arachnida; Ixodida; Ixodidae
Description: iri-miR-X1c-2-3p
Source: RNAcentral
GCCAACCCACUAACCGACGGGA